UACGUAGGGGGCUAGCGUUGUCCGGAAUCAUUGGGCGUAAAGAGCGUGUAGGCGGCCAGGUAGGUCUGCUGUGAAAACUCGAGGCUCAACCUCGAGACGUCGGCGGAAACCAUCUGGCUAGAGUCCGGAAGAGGAGAGUGGAAUUCCUGGUGUAGCGGUGAAAUGCGCAGAUAUCAGGAAGAACACCCGUGGCGAAGGCGGCUCUCUGGGACGGUACUGACGCUGAGACGCGAAAAGCGUGGGGGAGCGAAACAGGG
Molecule: ribosomal RNA, 257 nt
Filed under: uncultured bacterium
Lineage: Bacteria
Description: partial 16S ribosomal RNA
Rfam family: Bacterial small subunit ribosomal RNA
Source: RNAcentral